GGCUGCAGCUCAGUGGUAGAGCACUUGCUUUGGAUGUACAGGGCCCUGGGUUCAAUACCCAGCAUGGCCA
This 70-nucleotide transfer RNA is filed under the name Neotoma lepida (desert woodrat). It matches the Rfam family "tRNA". Rfam says of the family: Transfer RNA (tRNA) molecules are approximately 80 nucleotides in length. Their secondary structure includes four short double-helical elements and three loops (D, anti-codon, and T loops). Further hydrogen bonds mediate the characteristic L-shaped molecular structure. tRNAs have two regions of fundamental functional importance: the anti-codon, which is responsible for specific mRNA codon recognition, and the 3' end, to which the tRNAs corresponding amino acid is attached (by aminoacyl-tRNA synthetases). tRNAs cope with the degeneracy of the genetic code in two manners: having more than one tRNA (with a specific anti-codon) for a particular amino acid; and 'wobble' base-pairing, i.e. permitting non-standard base-pairing at the 3rd anti-codon position. The record is from Rfam by way of RNAcentral. Lineage: Eukaryota; Metazoa; Chordata; Mammalia; Rodentia; Cricetidae.